Molecule: transfer RNA, 73 nt
Filed under: Candidatus Woesearchaeota archaeon
Lineage: Archaea; Nanobdellati; Candidatus Woesearchaeota
Description: tRNA-Pro
Rfam family: tRNA
About the family: Transfer RNA (tRNA) molecules are approximately 80 nucleotides in length.
Source: RNAcentral
GGGGUUGUAGUCCAACUUGGUAAGAUACAGCCUUCGGGAGGCUGGGAUCGGGGUUCAAAUCCUCGCAACCCCA